UACGGAAGGUGCGAGCGUUGUUCGGAAUCACUGGGCUUAAAGCGCGUGUAGGCGGGAUGGCAGGUGCCUUGUGAAAUCCCCCGUCUCAACCGGGGAACUGCUGGGCAAACCGCCAUUCUUGAGGCAGGUAGAGGUGGCUGGAACCUUUGGUGGAGCGGUGAAAUGCGUAGAGAUCAAAGGGAACACCGAUGGCGAAAGCGAGCCGCUGGGCCUGUACUGACGCUGAGACGCGAAAGCGUGGGUAGCAAACAGG
RNAcentral lists this ribosomal RNA (253 nucleotides) under uncultured bacterium. RNAcentral describes it as "partial 16S ribosomal RNA". It matches the Rfam family "Bacterial small subunit ribosomal RNA", at positions 524 to 776 of the family's 1533-position model. The record is from RNAcentral.